RNAcentral lists this unclassified non-coding RNA (200 nucleotides) under Coniosporium sp. Its description in RNAcentral is "partial internal transcribed spacer 2". The record is from RNAcentral. Lineage: Eukaryota; Fungi; Ascomycota; Dothideomycetes.
UUAAGUUCAGCGGGUAUUCCUACCUGAUCCGAGGUCAACCUUGUGAUGACAUAGAAGGAGACCGGCCCGGAAGGUCCUUGAAACUCGACGCGUGCUCCUUAGAAGCUCGUUGCACCGAGGGUCCCACGGACGCCGUCAUUGUUUUUAGAGCCAGUUGGUCACGGGAGGACCAACGCGGCCCAACACCAAACCCGAGGUUU